This 227-nucleotide long non-coding RNA is filed under the name Panax ginseng (ginseng). RNAcentral describes it as "long non-coding RNA (PGIN_LNC016709)". The record is from RNAcentral. Lineage: Eukaryota; Viridiplantae; Streptophyta; Magnoliopsida; Apiales; Araliaceae.
AAAUUUGUAACAACACAGUCAACGUUUCACACAAGUUCAAGCCAACCAUCAACUCCAAAUUCUUGAAUCAAAAAAACCCAUUGCAAUUAGUGAGCUUUACUUUAGCAGCUUGUAAGAAUGCAGUAAAAGGUAUCUUAAAAUGUCAUUCAAGUUAAACCGAGGAAGAAGGCCCAUAUGCCAAAAAUAAAUGAGGUUCUACGUUCUCAUUGCUUGAGAGGGUUGAGGUG